This 465-nucleotide ribosomal RNA is filed under the name uncultured bacterium. Its description in RNAcentral is "partial 16S ribosomal RNA". It matches the Rfam family "Bacterial small subunit ribosomal RNA", at positions 338 to 795 of the family's 1533-position model. The record is from RNAcentral.
CCUACGGGAGGCAGCAGUAGGGAAUCUUCCACAAUGGGCGAAAGCCUGAUGGAGCAACGCCGCGUGGGUGAAGAAGGUCUUCGGAUCGUAAAACCCUGUUGUUAGAGAAGAAAGUGCGUGAGAGUAACUGUUCACGUUUCGACGGUAUCUAACCAGAAAGGCACGGCUAACUAUGUGCCAGCAGCCGCGGUAAUACGUAGGUGGCAAGCGUUAUCCGGAUUUAUUGGGCGUAAAGGGAACGCAGGCGGUCUUUUAAGUCUGAUGUGAAAGUCGUCGGCUUAACCGGAGUAGUGCAUUGGAAACUGGGAUACUUGAGUGCAGAAGAGGAGAGUGGAACGCCAUGUGUAGCGGUGAAAUGCGUAGAUAUAUGGAAGAACACCAGUGGCGAAAGCGGCUCUCUGGUCUGUAACUGACGCUGAGGUUCGAAAGCGUGGGUAGCAAACAGGAUUAGAUACCCCUGUAGUC